UUUUUUUGAAAUUAAAAAAAAUAAUAAUAAAAUAAAAUAAAAUUCAAAUUUCAAAAACAGCAAAACCAGUUCGGGUGCCCCAUUUUUCUCAUUUUUGUCUUCCCCCCAAAUUUUCCCUCCCUCCCUCUCUCCAUCUACCCCCAAAACCAGUGUCGUUCUUCCGGUUCCGGCAACCACUUUCGCACGAGCCAGCCACCGUUUCGAGCUCCGUCAUUCUUCCGGUUCCGACGAGGUGUUUCACACGAGCCCGCCAUCGUUUCGAGCUCCAUCUUCGGCCAACUCCGUCGUUCUUCCAGUUCCGGCUGUCUUCCAUCUCUGGCCGUCUUCCAAUUCCGGUCGUCUUCCAUCUCCGACAGAACGACCGCCGACGAGGUCCCCCAAUUCCGGCGACCCAUUUCUGGCCCAGAUUUCCCCAAUUUCUGGCUCUGAUCACAUACCCAACAAGCAGGACAAAGAUCCCCAGACACAUGUGGCACAAGUAAAUGUCUAUAACAAGUGAUUUGUCAAGCGGUCAUCCGUUAUGUAAAUGUGGAAUUCCUGCACGUCUAAGGAACUCUUGGACCACAUCCAAUCUCUCUAGAAAGUGGUAUGGAUGUAAUAACUACAAGAAAGCCGGUGAUUGUGAUUUUUUUGAAUGGGCUGAUAAGGAGAUGUUUGCAUACGAGAAGAGAUUAGUGCAACAUCUGAAAGAGAUGGAGGAGAGAAGACAGGCUGACAAUGACAAAGUUGAGAAAUUAAUUGAAAAAAAAUGCAAGAAACAAUUAGCGCAACAUUUGAAAGAAAUGGAGGAGAAAGUUGAAGAAUUUAUUGAAAAAAAAAUGUAAGGAGCAAUUAGCGCAACAUAAUGAGAAGAUGUUUUGUGUUUCCUGUUUUA
This is a long non-coding RNA of Alnus glutinosa, 874 nucleotides long. RefSeq lists it as uncharacterized. The record is from RefSeq and is a predicted model, not a curated record. NCBI's taxonomy places the organism in Eukaryota, Viridiplantae, Streptophyta, Magnoliopsida, Fagales, Betulaceae. The transcript is spliced from 4 exons.